Molecule: ribosomal RNA, 380 nt
Filed under: Priestia megaterium
Lineage: Bacteria; Bacillati; Bacillota; Bacilli; Caryophanales; Bacillaceae
Description: bacterial SSU rRNA
Rfam family: Bacterial small subunit ribosomal RNA
Source: RNAcentral
AUUCGACGAAGCUAAUACCGGAUAGGACUUCUCCUUCAUGGGAGAGAUUGAAAGAUGGUUUCGGCUAUCACUUACAGAUGGGCCCGCGGUGCAUUAGCUAGUUGGUGAGGUAACGGCUCACCAAGGCAACGAUGCAUAGCCGACCUGAGAGGGUGAUCGGCCACACUGGGACUGAGACACGGCCCAGACUCCUACGGGAGGCAGCAGUAGGGAAUCUUCCGCAAUGGACGAAAGUCUGACGGAGCAACGCCGCGUGAGUGAUGAAGGCUUUCGGGUCGUAAAACUCUGUUGUUAGGGAAGAACAAGUACGAGAGUAACUGCUCGUACCUUGACGGUACCUAACCAGAAAGCCACGGCUAACUACGUGCCAGCAGCCGCGG